Mus musculus (house mouse) is the source of this 2577-nucleotide RNA transcript. It is a transcript of the gene named protein phosphatase 1 catalytic subunit gamma, with no coding region annotated. The transcript has 6 exons. The record is from RefSeq and is marked validated. NCBI's taxonomy places the organism in Eukaryota, Metazoa, Chordata, Mammalia, Rodentia, Muridae.
ACUCCCGCGCGCGCAUCCGUGCGCCGCCCGAGGCUGGCCUGAGGAGUCGGCGGCCAUCUUGUUCUUCUCGUGGUUCCCAGUGGCGAGAGGAGGAGGAAGCCCGGAGCGGAGCGGGGCGGCUGGGGGGGGUGGACCCGCCGCGGCUGCUGCUGCCACCGCCGCCGCCGCCACCACCGCUCGUGGGGCUCGUGGCGUGAGGAAGGAGGACGAGUGAGACCCCGGGGCGAGCGGGCGGCGGCGCCGCUGCUGCUGCUGCUGCUGCGGGAGGGUCGGCGGCGGGACGGCGAUGGCGGAUAUCGACAAACUCAACAUCGACAGCAUCAUCCAACGGCUGCUGGAAGUGAGAGGGUCCAAGCCAGGCAAGAAUGUCCAGCUCCAGGAGAACGAGAUCCGAGGACUCUGCCUGAAGUCUCGGGAGAUCUUCCUCAGUCAGCCUAUCCUUUUAGAACUUGAAGCACCACUCAAGAUAUGUGGUGACAUCCACGGGCAGUACUAUGAUUUGCUCCGUCUGUUUGAAUACGGUGGCUUUCCUCCAGAGAGCAACUAUUUGUUUCUCGGGGACUAUGUGGACAGGGGCAAGCAGUCCCUGGAGACAAUCUGCCUCUUGCUGGCCUACAAAAUCAAGUAUCCGGAGAACUUCUUUCUUCUCAGAGGGAACCACGAGUGCGCCAGCAUCAAUAGGAUCUACGGAUUUUAUGAUGAGUGUAAAAGAAGAUACAACAUUAAGCUGUGGAAAACGUUCACAGACUGUUUUAACUGCUUGCCGAUAGCAGCCAUCGUGGACGAGAAGAUAUUCUGCUGUCAUGGAGGUUUAUCACCAGAUCUUCAAUCUAUGGAGCAGAUUCGGCGAAUUAUGAGACCAACUGAUGUACCAGAUCAAGGUCUUCUUUGUGAUCUUUUGUGGUCUGACCCCGAUAAAGAUGUCUUAGGCUGGGGUGAAAAUGACAGAGGAGUGUCCUUCACAUUUGGUGCAGAAGUGGUUGCAAAAUUUCUCCAUAAGCAUGAUUUGGAUCUUAUAUGUAGAGCCCAUCAGGUACUGACUUUGACUUUACAUGUACACUUAGAGCAUGGGUGUGAGCCGAGGCUCCUUGUUGAUUUUGGUGGGUAGGUAUGGCUUGCCACACAGUGUGCCUCCGGGGCGAGCGGCAGCAGGCCGAGCUCAGUGGGGAAGGAGAGGGGCAGCUCGUGCCCCAGCUGCUCACACUGACACGGUCUCUCCACAGGUGGUUGAAGAUGGCUAUGAGUUUUUUGCAAAGAGGCAGUUAGUCACUCUGUUUUCUGCACCCAACUACUGUGGCGAGUUUGACAAUGCAGGCGCCAUGAUGAGUGUGGAUGAGACCCUCAUGUGUUCCUUCCAGAUUUUAAAGCCUGCAGAGAAAAAGAAGCCCAACGCCACGAGACCUGUCACACCACCACGGGGUAUGAUCACAAAGCAAGCAAAGAAAUAGAUGUCACUUGACACUGCCUGGUUGGGACUUGUAACAUAGCGUUCAUAACCUUCCUUUUUAAACUGUGAUGUGCUGGUCAGCUUGCCCAGGUAGACCUGUCUGUCGGGCCCUCCUCCAUUUGAUUACUGCUGGCACUUGCUGGUUAUAGCAGCAAGCCAAGCACUUCAUUCUCAAGAGAGCAUUUUGUUUUGAACCUCUGUUCCCUUUGUGGACAGCUCUGAUGAUGGUGUUAAGCUGUACACCCUGGCAGGUUAUCCUGUCUGAGGAGAAAGUGUACAAUUGAUCUUUUUUUAAUUUAGUAUAAGUCAUGAAUAAUGUAAAUGCCUGUUUUCUUUAGGAUAUAAAGAGAGCCUUAGAGUGCGUGAGUCUCUACAUGUAAUUGUCAUAAAUGCAUUCUGUUGAUACAAACCACUGUGAACAAUUUUUUUUCCAGUUUGUUUGAAAGGGACUGCUUUCCCUCAUUGUCUUGUCAUGUACAAACUAGUGUCUGCAGCUGUGGCAGCAGGAGUGACCUGCCUGCCGCCAGCCCUGCCCAGACUAUCUGAAGCACACUCCUUCCCACUGCACAUUUAAUAAUGAUUAAAGCCAUUCUUUUCAAUGUCUGUGAUUCCUUCCUAAAGCCAAAGUUUCUGUUGGACUGUAUGGCACGCCCUGGGGAUGAGGUGGCCAGGGCAUCGAGGCUGCGUGCACAGGCCGCCUCCCUCCGUGGGGCCUCAGAAGCAGGUUAUUUUAACUAGCAAUAGUGGUAUAGUGCUGAGUAAGCUAUUAAUGAUGGAAGUUAAUGACACUUUGUACAGUUCCCAUAUAGUCUAUUCACUGAGUGAUCUUUUUACAGUUGGAUCAGGCCUGAACCCGUCCAUUCAGAAAGCUUCAAAUUAUAGAAACAACACUGUCCUAUACGAGUGACCGAUAAUGCUUUCUUUGGCUACAUUCUUUAUUCUGCGGUGACAUUGAGGCUUAUAAAUCAAAAGGAACUAACUUGCCGUCCACCGGUUUAUACAGAACUCACAGUAUCUAUGACUUUUUUAAACUACGACCUGUUAAAUGAAUCUGUUUGCACAGAUGCCCGUGUACAAUGCCAUGUGCUGAGAAUGGUUUCAGACUUAUUAAAUGCAAGCUUGUUAACUUG